This 393-nucleotide ribosomal RNA is filed under the name Triticum aestivum (bread wheat). Its description in RNAcentral is "partial small subunit ribosomal RNA". Lineage: Eukaryota; Viridiplantae; Streptophyta; Magnoliopsida; Poales; Poaceae. The record is from RNAcentral.
AUGCUCAGAGGCCUCCAAGAGUACAUGUUGCUACUGCACCUGAACCAAGACCAGCUACAGCAAGAGCUACAACUUCUGCACCUUCACCAGCUCCAGUUGCUACUUCUAGGGGGAAAAAGGGCUGCUUCAACUAUUACAGCAGCAAUUGCACAAGGAGCACCAGCUAAGAGGAGCAGGCCUAAAACUUCUUCUGCUGCUAACACUUCUUCUCCUGCUAAGAACACCACAUCAUCUACAGCUUCUCCUGCUAAGAACACCAGAUCUUCAAGUGCCCAGAGAAGAACUUUCAUUGCACCAAGGCAAUCAAAUUCAACUGUUGUCCAGGAGGGGUCAAAGAGGAUCAGGAAGCCAAGUGGGAGGCUGAAAGACUAUUUUUAUGCAAGUGGUAACUAG